UUACCCCUGCAAUGCUCGUGAUUGCAUAAUUGCCUUUGUCCUAACGUAAAGAACGAGGGGUAUCCACAUUUUUCCUGUGUGCAGGUUCCUCAUGUUAAGGAAAAGCCUAAAGGAAAUAUUGGACACCAACUUUUGAACUAAUGGUUCAAAGUCUAAACAGGCAACACGACUUUUUGGGGGUAAC
This 184-nucleotide non-coding RNA is filed under the name Deltaproteobacteria bacterium. RNAcentral describes it as "6S RNA". It matches the Rfam family "6S / SsrS RNA". Rfam says of the family: E. coli 6S RNA was the first non coding RNA to be sequenced, but its function was unknown until recently. It consists of 184 nucleotides that fold into an extended hairpin structure with a large single-stranded internal bulge. The 6S RNA specifically associates with RNA polymerase holoenzyme containing the sigma70 specificity factor. Lineage: Bacteria; Pseudomonadati; Myxococcota; Myxococcia. The record is from RNAcentral.